Molecule: long non-coding RNA, 308 nt
Filed under: Nicotiana benthamiana
Lineage: Eukaryota; Viridiplantae; Streptophyta; Magnoliopsida; Solanales; Solanaceae
Description: long non-coding RNA (NBEN_LNC001791)
Source: RNAcentral
CAGGUAUUUGUCUUUUACAACCUAGUAAGCUCGAGCUCUUGCAAGUGGAAACUCAUCCAGAUAAAACUGGGAACUACAAUAGUACCGCACAGGACUAGCAUCAGGGUGUGGAUAUCACAAACUGAUAAUAGCUGCAUACUCAACUGAUAGAUGUAACGAGGAGAUAUUCAACCAAUAACCACAAAUCUCUCAAGUGAAACUGAGAGUAACAGCAUCAGAUAUAUUCCUGCUGAAUGUGUUCGAUACCACCUGAAAUAAAAGAGAUCCAAGAUUGCAUUAAUUUAGAUGUUGUUUGUGCAGCUCAUUGG